Long non-coding RNA from Portunus trituberculatus (swimming crab), 4414 nucleotides. RefSeq lists it as uncharacterized. The record is from RefSeq and is a predicted model, not a curated record. Lineage: Eukaryota; Metazoa; Arthropoda; Malacostraca; Decapoda; Portunidae. The transcript is spliced from 9 exons.
GGAAUAGGAGAAGGAUCCAAGGUGUAAUAUUUAGUGCUGGCAGACAUACCUACAGACGACCCCCGCACGGAACAACAACGACUUAUGUGCCUCAGACAGUCAGUUCUCCUACUGCUGUGUCAAUGGUAUCCCGAAGCAGCGCAUGUGUGACGGCUUCAAUGACUACUGCAGUAACGGAGAGGCGAGGAGAUGGCCUUGCUUUUGUCACUCUGGAUGAGUCUGUGCAGCUGUGUGGCACUGACGAGUGUCGGGAGAAGAAUAUCGGGUGUGAGCCCCUGUGCAUUAACACUCGAGAGUCAUACUACUGCCAGUGCCGGCCAGGAUACUGACUCGUCAGGAAGUUCAACUGUGAAGACGUUGACGAGUGCGUGGAGUCGCCCAGAUCCUCUCCAUGAGGGAACAUCCAUUUUCACUCUACAGAUGUUUGUCAGGUUUCUGAAGAUGCGUCGACGUGUUAGCAUCCACACAAGCUUCCCCAACCCACCCAGUGUACCACAAGAUAACGGGCACUGAGGUGGACAGGAGCGCGCGGCUGCAAGCACCGCGCGGUAUACGAGGGCGCUAAGAAGUUUACCAUAUGAAAGGUGUGGUGCGCGUGGGCCGGCACAUGUUGCCGUACGCAAGUGUGCACGUGUAGCGACCUGACAAGUGUGUAGAGAACCACCGAAGACGACACACGACAGAGGGAAAGGGAAUCGGAUAAGCGCCUGACAACACGUAUAUCUCACGCCCACGCCCACGCCCACGCUCGUGCUACGUGGGUCCGUAGGCGUGUAGGUCGGGUAGGGUGUGUCGUCAGGGACCGACCGUCCAGUUGACACGACACAGUAGGCUAAUAUUGGCUAUGCAAUUGAUAAAACCGUUGUGUCCCUCGCCUAUCACUAACACACUCCUUUUCAUGAGGGCGAAGGUUGGCAGGAGCAGGUACUGGCAGUGGUUGUAGUGGUGGUGGUGGUGGUGGUGGUAUUUAUAUGCUUGUGUGAAGAUAGAUGGAUUUGAUGGGUUGAUAGAUAUGUAAAUGGACAGUUGGAUAAACAAACAGAUAGAUGGAUAGGUAGGCAGAUAGAUAAGUCAAUGAAUUCCUAUAUAAUUAACAAGUUAAAAGUGUAUGUUUAUAGAAAAAUAUCUAUAUUCCUCUAUUUAGUAUCCUUUCACCCUGGUUUAUUGUUAGAAAUACUCGUAUAACAGGUGGUAGAAUUAGAGAAUGAGAGAAAUACUAUAGUCCACCUUUUAGGCACCUUGACACUCGUUCCGCAGGAGCUGCCAACACUCGCUGUACAACUAGAUACUACUUAACAUUUCCUGCUCUGACAAAUAACCAUAGCUGGACACGGUAACGAAGAGAAAGAUGUCACAAUAACCAAUAAAACGACAUGUGGUAUUUGCAUAAGUAUAGUGUCUCAUUAAUAAGAGAUUUAGUAACAGAUAGUUAUCAUAAACAUUUACACAUACGUACUACUGCCUUCGCAAAGAACCUCCUGCUACGGCAGUAGUCUGUUGAUGAUGGGUGGUGGUGGUGGUGUCAUUUGUGGCGGUUGGCUAUAUUGAUGGUGGUGGUGACAACAUUUGUGGCGGUGGCCUAUACUGACCCAUGCACACCCAAACCCCCAAACACACACACACAAGUAAAAUAAAAAAAGUGAAAUGUUACUGUAUUACCGACAGUUCUUAAGCAGCGCCAAGCAUCAAGCACCAAGCGGCAUGACAGCAGUGCCUUCACCAUAACCUUCCACACUGCCUCAUCUUCGUCUGUUAAAGGUCAGCUCGGAGCAACCUACCCUGCACUGAAUACAGACCCAGAGCAGAAAGACGGAGAUCCUCACUAUUUUAAUUACCACAUAAGUUUUUGAAAGAGUGUUAGAUCACCAAAUAGUAAGCAGAAUUAAUAUGAAAAUGCAUCCUGGUACUGAAGGGGUUAAGUGAAAUCUAGGCAAGUUACGUACAUUUCUUUAGGGGAUAAGGUUAACAUGGGGAGUUGACACUACAUAGAGGCUGUAUACGAGGCUGCCCAGGCCUUGCUACUGCCUGCCACAAUAGGUGCUGUGCUAAUGGCUGCCACCUGCUUCCUGCCUCACCUGGCCAAGUAAGAAGACAAAGCUGAGUUGACCCCUCAGGAGAUGUGAAAAGUCAAGACAAGUGGCUUUCCUUCAAAGGCUAAGACAAGCAAUGGCAAGUGGAACCUGAUAAUUUUAUCUUGAAAUGAUGCUGGGUUGCUGGCUUGGAUGAAGAAGUUGCAGAGGCGAGCCAGCAAUGUGGGCCAAAGCUGAGGAGAACAGGAAGAUCCACACCAAGCUGAAGGAAGGAUAUGACUGGAGGAAGGAUUGAAAGUAACAUCCUGCUGCUGACACAUCUUACUGUUGCUCAGGAUCAGCAAUGUUUCCCGUGAUCAUGGAGGGCAAGAUCGAGGACAAUGUGGACCUUAACUUACAGUGAGUGAGCAGUACUGGACCAAAGGAAAGGAGAAAAUCGGGCAGCAAUGAGAAGAGGGGCACAAGUGAGGGAGGCAUUGAGAUGGAGAAGAGGAUGGAGAAUACAAUGAAGAUGAUGAAACAUAAAAGAAAAAAGAUGUAGAAUCAAACCACUUGGAGAAGGACGAUAGGUUAUGUUCACCAGGAGAGGAUGCAGCGGAACACCCCAAGAUGACGUACUCCUGCCGGGAAAGCAAUGACCAAGUGCAUAUGAUGGCACAUACCAACAGACUGCCGGUGACCCUCUCUUUCAGGCACCAUGUAUUAGCACCCCACCAGGAGAUUACACAGUUGCUGUCUGGAUUGCCACCAUUACCACUAGCACCACCCUUCAGACCAAUACACUAAGAGGCAGACUGCACUACCACCACCCUGAAGAAACCAAUGCAUAGCAGCCUUUACCACCACCCAGAUUGGAAGUCUGGAAAAGCAAACGCCAUAACUCUGCCGGUCGUGUGUGUUUGAGGCAAGUGAAAUUAGGUUUGAUAGAUAUUCUGAGUAAAUAUGUAGAGUAUUCACCAUCAUUUCAGUCACCUGUAAUAGGCUAAUCGGGUGUUGUGAGUCACCAUGGGAUGGCAAAUGUAAUUACCUAUUCUUUGAUCAGGAGAGUGAAAUGUUGGUAAGUGAUAACAGGUGAGCUGCUUAUCAAUGGUUCACACAUCCCACAAAAUCAUAAAGGAAGCUACAAGAAGCCAUCAGCCCUACACUUGGCAGUUCUUGUAUCUGUUAUCACCCAUCUUUUUAUUUAUUUAUUUUAUUUUAAGUUUUUAUGUCGUUUUCAUAUUCUAUUAGGGGUAAGACAGUGUCUCGUAACAGAGGACUUUGAAUUUGGGAUAUGGGAACUUUUACCCCAAGUGGACGCCCUUCCUAACCUUGGAUUUGAACCCAUUUGCUUGAGGACCCUGCAGCCCCAUCCAUAAAUGUGUGUAAUCUUUUUAAAUCUCUCUGAUGACUAUGAACCACAAUCUGAUUACUGUUCCAUUCAUUGACCACAGUUUGCAAGAACACUACCACUAUAAUCAACAUCAGGAGCAGAUAGGGACUCGCAGAAGAGGAUGUGGUGAUGCCUUGGUGAAAGAUAAGGAGAUCUGAGAUUUGGGUGUGACUGUCAACACUGUCUGACAAACUGGAUAGUGUGUGUGUGUGUGUGUGUGUGUGUGUGUGUGUGUGUGUGUGUGUGUGCGUGCGUGCGUGCAUGUUUGUCAUGGUGGUACGUACCUCACUGUUGCAUCCUUACCUCAUUACAGUGUUGUGCAGCUCCAGGGAGUUCCAGAGUUUGCCAAAGAAAGGAAUGAAUGAUUGAGAAUACUGGUUAACUUGUAUUAAGGGUGAGAAAAAAAAAGUUGUGCAGUAAGGCCACAAGAGCGAGGGAGGCAUGCAGUUAGCAAGAUCAAAAGAGCAGUUGACAUGAAAAUAGAAGAUAGCAAGGGAUGCAUAUCAUUAAAGAAAGAGGCUGAAGACAGUCAGUGAAAGGAAGGCAGUUAAGACAAAAAGCUUUUGAUUCCAUCAUGUCUAGAAGAGCAGUAUGAGUGUAACUCCAUACAUGUGAAGCAUACUCCAUAAGGGCCCUGCUUAGAAUUGACAGUUGGCAGGGAUGAGAAAAACUGUUGGAGAUGUUUCAGUUUGUAAUCAUCCUCCUGAUGGUGAUGAUGAUGGUGAUGACAUUGAGUGAGAUGGUGAGGGAAUGACAUAAUGGCAUUUUGAAGAUACAAACAACUGCUGAGAGAGAGAGAGAGAGAGAGAGAGAGAGAGAGAGAGAUGCAAUGCUCUUUUACCAUAUUAACUUUCCUUUUCCAGUAGUUAAUGUCAAUAGUCAGAGGUCUUGUUUUAGAGGUUACUUUAUGUAUAUUGUCUAGAAAUUACUACAACUAUUACUGUCUAUUUAUCAGUUUCUGUCACUGUUGUUUUAUGACAGAAUAAUAAACAUUUUCUGAAACUACUGUGUA